AAGGAUUUAAGUUAAUUAAACUCGAAACCUUCAAAGUUUCAAAUAAAGACAUUUCUCUUUAAGCCUUA
This 68-nucleotide transfer RNA is filed under the name Propomacrus bimucronatus. Its description in RNAcentral is "tRNA-Trp". RNAcentral also lists the same sequence under 1 other name. The record is from RNAcentral. Lineage: Eukaryota; Metazoa; Arthropoda; Insecta; Coleoptera; Glaphyridae.